UUGGAGGGCAAGUCUGGUGCCAGCAGCCGCGGUAAUUCCAGCUCCAAUAGCGUAUAUUAAAGUUGUUGCAGUUAAAAAGCUCAUAGUUGAAUUUCGGGAUCAGAGUGUCGGUCGUGCCUCGGUACGCACUGGUAUUAUUGGUUCCUACCUUCUGAAGAACCGCGAUGUCAUUAAUUUGGUGUCGUGGGGAAUCAGGACUGUUACUUUGAAAAAAUUAGAGUGUUUAAAGCAGGCUUACGCUUGAAUACAUUAGCAUGGAAUAAUGAAAUAGGACGUUUGAUUCUAUUUUGUUGGUUUCUAGGAUUGACGUAAUGAUUAAUAGGGAUAGUUGGGGGCAUUAGUAUUCAAUUGUCAGAGGUGAAAUUCUUGGAUUUAUUGAAGACUAACUACUGCGAAAGCAUUUGCCAAGGAUGUUUUCAUUAAUCAAGAACGAAAGUUAGGGGAUCGAAGACGAUCAGAUACCGUCGUAGUCUUAACCAUAAACUAUGCCGACUAGGGAUCGGAUGAUGUUAAUUUUUUAAUGACUCAUUCGGCGCCUUACGGGAAACCAAAGUGUUUGGGUUC
Molecule: ribosomal RNA, 564 nt
Filed under: uncultured Glomeromycotina
Lineage: Eukaryota; Fungi; Glomeromycota
Description: SSU rRNA
Rfam family: Eukaryotic small subunit ribosomal RNA
Source: RNAcentral